UUAACCUAAUCGGGUCAAACCCAACUGAAUCCAAUUCAAUUGGACUUGAUUCAAAAAUAAUUACUCAAUCAAAUUGAGUUAAUUAGUGAUCAAAUCACUAAUUAAACCUCUCAUAAAUACUGAGUCCAAAUUCGAUGGACAAUCGGGCAUCAGAAUUCAUCGAUAUGUAAUCCUGAUCGAAAAGUCCCAACCAGUGGGACUCUUGACCCUGGUACCCAUAAUGUGUGGAACUCAUGAUCANNNNNN
This 246-nucleotide long non-coding RNA is filed under the name Elaeis guineensis (African oil palm). RNAcentral's name for it is "long non-coding RNA (EGUI_LNC042426)". The record is from RNAcentral. Lineage: Eukaryota; Viridiplantae; Streptophyta; Magnoliopsida; Arecales; Arecaceae.